GAUGAACGCUGGCGGCGUGCCUAACACAUGCAAGUCGAGCGAAGCACUUACUUUAGAUUUCUUCGGAAUGACGAAGUUUGUGACUGAGCGGCGGACGGGUGAGUAACGCGUGGGCAACCUGCCCUGUACAGGGGGAUAACAGUUAGAAAUGACUGCUAAUACCGCAUAAGCCCACAGCUUCGCAUGAAGCAGUGGGAAAAACUCCGGUGGUACAGGAUGGGCCCGCGUCUGAUUAGCUAGUUGGUAAGGUAACGGCUUACCAAGGCGACGAUCAGUAGCCGACCUGAGAGGGUGACCGGCCACAUUGGGACUGAGACACGGCCCAAACUCCUACGGGAGGCAGCAGUGGGGAAUAUUGCACAAUGGGGGGAACCCUGAUGCAGCGACGCCGCGUGAGCGAUGAAGUAUUUCGGUAUGUAAAGCUCUAUCAGCAGGGAAGAAAGUGACGGUACCUGACUAAGAAGCCCCGGCUAACUACGUG
This 481-nucleotide ribosomal RNA is filed under the name uncultured bacterium. RNAcentral's name for it is "partial 16S ribosomal RNA". It matches the Rfam family "Bacterial small subunit ribosomal RNA", at positions 28 to 507 of the family's 1533-position model. The record is from RNAcentral.